UGGCAGGUACAGAGGGGUGCUACCGGGUGACCGGAUGCCGAUCUCGAAAACCUGUCCCAGUUCGGACUGGAGUCUGCAACCCGACUCCACGAAGUUGGAUUCGCUAGUAAUCGCGCAUCAGCCAUGGCGCGGUGAAUACGUUCCCGGGCCUUGUACACACCGCCCGUCAAGCCAUGGGAGCCGGGGGCGCCUGAAGUCCGGGACCGCGAGGACCGGCCUAGGGCGAAACUGGUGACUGGGGCUAAGUCGUAACAAGGUAGC
RNAcentral lists this ribosomal RNA (261 nucleotides) under uncultured bacterium. RNAcentral describes it as "partial 16S ribosomal RNA". It matches the Rfam family "Bacterial small subunit ribosomal RNA", at positions 1231 to 1500 of the family's 1533-position model. The record is from RNAcentral.